UACGUAGGGGGCAAGCGUUGUCCGGAAUUACUGGGCGUAAAGGGCGCGUAGGCGGCCUGUUAAGUCGAACGUGAAAUCCCCGGGCUCAACCCGGGAACUGCGUCCGAUACUGGCAGGCUUGAAUUCGGGAGAGGGAUGCGGAAUUCCAGGUGUAGCGGUGAAAUGCGUAGAUAUCUGGAGGAACACCGGUGGCGAAGGCGGCAUCCUGGACCGAGAUUGACGCUGAUGCGCGAAAGCCAGGGGAGCAAACGGG
Molecule: ribosomal RNA, 253 nt
Filed under: uncultured bacterium
Lineage: Bacteria
Description: partial 16S ribosomal RNA
Rfam family: Bacterial small subunit ribosomal RNA
Source: RNAcentral